ACGUUGGCGGCGUGGAUUAGGCAUGCGAGUCGCGCGAGAAUGUAGCAAUACAGGAAAGCGGCGAAAGGGAGAGGACAACAUGGGAAUCUGCCCUGGGGGCGAGGAUAGCGUCGGGAAACUGACGGUAAUACUCGAUAAUGUCUGCGGACCAAAGGUGUGAUUCCGCCCCAGGAUGUGCCCAUGUCCCAUUAGCUAGUUGGCGGUGUAAUGGACCACCAAGGCGAUGAUGGGUAGCUGGUGUGAGAGCACGACCAGCCUCACUGGCACUGAGACACUGGCCAGACACCUACGGGUGGCUGCAGUCGAGAAUCUUCGGCAAUGGACGAAAGUCUGACCGAGCGACGCCGCGUGUGGGAUGAAGGUCUUCGGAUUGUAAACCACUGUCGAGGGGAAUCAAAUGCAGGAGGGUCCUCCCUCUUGUUUGAGAGAACCCUGGAGGAAGGGGAGGCUAAGCUCGUGCCAGCAGCCGCGGUAAGACGAGCUCCCCGAACGUUAUUCGGUAUUACUGGGCUUAAAGAGUUCGUAGGCGGCGAAGUAGGUGAGGUGUGAAAGCCCUCGGCUCAACCGAGGAACUGCGCUUCAAACCGCUUUGCUAGAGGGAGAUAGGGGUAAGCGGAACAGAUGGUGGAACGGUGAAAUGUAUUGAUAUCAUCUGGAACACCGGUGGCGAAAGCGGCUUACUGGGUCUUUUCUGACGCUGAGGAACGAAAGCUAGGGUAGCGAACGGGAUUAGAUACCCGGUAGUCCUAGCCGUAACGAUGAGCACUAGUCUGAGGACUCUCACAGUCUC
Molecule: ribosomal RNA, 790 nt
Filed under: uncultured Planctomycetota bacterium
Lineage: Bacteria; Pseudomonadati; Planctomycetota
Description: bacterial SSU rRNA
Rfam family: Bacterial small subunit ribosomal RNA
Source: RNAcentral